RNAcentral lists this long non-coding RNA (561 nucleotides) under Durio zibethinus. RNAcentral describes it as "long non-coding RNA (DZIB_LNC001087)". The record is from RNAcentral. Lineage: Eukaryota; Viridiplantae; Streptophyta; Magnoliopsida; Malvales; Malvaceae.
GAAGCGUGUGGUCUGCGUGGACCCCCAGUUGGAAAAAUCGGUUCCACACCAUUAUCGGCUUUUUCACAGAACAAGCUUUUCCCCGUGUUCGGCGCAGUCGUGUGUAGACUUUAAACAUUGUUUUUUUGAAAAGAUAUUUAUUAGUAAUUAACACUAUUGCUUUGGAAUUUUCACUGGAGACUAAACUCUAGCAGCCAAAAACUCUGAACCCAAAAUUUGGAAUAUAAAAAAGUAACAAACUUUGUGUUAUUUUUGUGAAUUUGACAGAGAAAAAAUAUGGGAAGUUGUGUUUCAAAGCAAGGAAGCGUUGGGGGAUUUCCAAAGAAGAAGAAAAGGAAGAUUUUGAGGAGAAAAAGGAUCAUUAAAAGGAGGGUUUCUUCUCGUAAGCUUGAGAAUGGGGAAUUUUGUGCUGGUUCUAAGGACCUUUCUCGUGCUAGUUCUACGAUCCAAGGUUAACCCUUUGUUUUUCUUGAUAACCCUUUUCACUAUUUUUUGGUUUUGAAUCAUUGAAGCUUGUUGUUAGUUUUUGAUUUCUGGGUUUGACUGAUUGAGGAAAUANNN